Molecule: long non-coding RNA, 1274 nt
Organism: Loxodonta africana (African savanna elephant)
Lineage: Eukaryota; Metazoa; Chordata; Mammalia; Proboscidea; Elephantidae
Exons: 5
Source: RefSeq, a predicted model, not a curated record
GGCCCAUGGUGGCCCUCGCUGGCUAACGCCAGGCAGCUGCCACCAAGAGGCGUCGGACAUUCUCAGGAGUGGAGAAGUGUAGACCCUGCCCCUUCCCCUGACAGCCUGCCUCUUCCCCUAUUCCCCUAACCACUUCGACCCCCACCCCCUCCUCUUUGAUAAGCGCAUUAUCAAAGGGUCCUGGAAUCUCUUGGAGGGGAAGUUUGGGUGAAUGUGGUCUUUGUCUUCAAAGGGUUUCAGAAGCUAGGCACUUAACUGAGCCUUGAUUACUCCUGGGAGCCCUGUGGCCUUCUCUUCUCUGUCACCUGAAGCACUCUGGGCCGGCUACCUCCACAAAGGCUCCCAGGAGGGUGGAGAGGGCUCUGGCUUCCGGAGGCCCCAGGCCCAGCCCAGCUCUCCUCCUGGCUGUGUGGCCUGGACAAGCCUGGGCCCUGAUUCCUCAUGUGCCAGCCCGCCCGGCCAGGGUGCUGCAGUCAGGCUUAGAGCUGAAAAUCCGGGGUGAGUAUAGGAGACUGAGGGAGACCUGAGGAAGCAUCAGGGCGCCGGGGAGGAGCCUGGCGCGCCAGAAGGGGAACUGCUGCUGCCAGCGGGCUGUCCUUUCCAGGAACAAAAGAGGAAGGAGGGACAGGGACCCCAGCCUUCCCCACGAAGAGACCUGGCCUCUGUGGCGGUGGGUCCGCCCUGGACCCCCGGCGCCCACGCGGCCCACUCAUGACCUCCGGGCUCCUGGGUUUGCUCCUGUUCUCCUGGACCCUGCAGAUGGGAGAAAUGUUCCCACUGCCAGGAGGCAGGCGCCACCUUGGGCUGCUACAACAAAGGCUGCUCCUUCCGAUACCAUUACCCGUGUGCCAUUGACGCAGAUUGUUUGCUACAUGAGGAGAACUUCUCGCUGAGGUGCCCCAAGCACAAGCCUCCCCUCCCAUGCCCUCUCCCGCCCUUGCAGAACAAGACCGCCAAAGGCAGCCUCAGCACAGAACAGUCGGAGCGGGGGUGAGGGGGGCAGUGUGCUCGUGGGAAUGGAGAGUACAGCAAGCACAGGUGAGACUGUGGAGAUGAGACGUGGUGGACACUCGUGAUGGAAUGGAAACCGUCGUCCUGCGCAGCUGCCCCCCACCCCCGCCCUGACGUGCCUGCCCUGCCAGCACUUCCUCCUCAGUUCUUACAUCACACCCAAACCAGGACACCACAGGAAAGAGACCCAAGAAGUUGGAAUGGCUGUUUCCAUGGACACAAUCUCCAUAGUGACAAUGUGGGGGAGGGGGGAGGGGGGAUGG